UGGCGAACGGGUGAGUAACACGUGGGCAAUCUGCCCUUCACUCUGGGACAAGCCCUGGAAACGGGGUCUAAUACCGGAUACUGACCCUCGCAGGCAUCUGCGAGGUUCGAAAGCUCCGGCGGUGAAGGAUGAGCCCGCGGCCUAUCAGCUUGUUGGUGAGGUAAUGGCUCACCAAGGCGACAACGGGUAGCCGGCCUGAGAGGGCGACCGGCCACACUGGGACUGAAACACGGCCCAAACUCCUACGGGAGGCAGCAGUGGGGAAUAUUGCACAAUGGGCGAAAGCCUGAUGCAGCGACGCCGCGUGAGGGAUGACGGCCUUCGGGUUGUAAACCUCUUUCAGCAGGGAAGAAGCGAAAGUGACGGUACCUGCAGAAGAAGCGCCGGCUAACUACGUGCCAGCAGCCGCGGUAAUACGUAGGGCGCAAGCGUUGUCCGGAAUUAUUGGGCGUAAAGAGCUCGUAGGCGGCUUGUCACGUCGGUUGUGAAAGCCCGGGGCUUAACCCCGGGUCUGCAGUCGAUACGGGCAGGCUAGAGUUCGGUAGGGGAGAUCGGAAUUCCUGGUGUAGCGGUGAAAUGCGCAGAUAUCAGGAGGAACACCGGUGGCGAAGGCGGAUCUCUGGGCCGAUACUGACGCUGAGGAGCGAAAGCGUGGGGAGCGAACAGGAUUAGAUACCCUGGUAGUCCACGCCGUAAACGGUGGGCACUAGGUGUGGGCAACAUUCCACGUUGUCCGUGCCGCAGCUAACGCAUUAAGUGCCCCGCCUGGGGAGUACGGCCGCAAGGCUAAAACUCAAAGGAAUUGACGGGGGCCCGCACAAGCGGCGGAGCAUGUGGCUUAAUUCGACGCAACGCGAAGAACCUUACCAAGGCUUGACAUACACCGGAAAGCAUCAGAGAUGGUGCCCCCCUUGUGGUCGGUGUACAGGUGGUGCAUGGCUGUCGUCAGCUCGUGUCGUGAGAUGUUGGGUUAAGUCCCGCAACGAGCGCAACCCUUGUCCCGUGUUGCCAGCAAGCCCUUCGGGGUGUUGGGGACUCACGGGAGACCGCCGGGGUCAACUCGGAGGAAGGUGGGGACGACGUCAAGUCAUCAUGCCCCUUAUGUCUUGGGCUGCACACGUGCUACAAUGGCCGGUACAAUGAGCUGCGAUACCGCAAGGUGGAGCGAAUCUCAAAAAGCCGGUCUCAGUUCGGAUUGGGGUCUGCAACUCGACCCCAUGAAGUCGGAGUCGCUAGUAAUCGCAGAUCAGCAUUGCUGCGGUGAAUACGUUCCCGGGCCUUGUACACACCGCCCGUCACGUCACGAAAGUCGGUAACACCCGAAGCCGGUGGCCCAACCCCUUGUGGGAGGGAGCUGUCGAAGGUGGGACUGGCGAUUGGAACGAAGUC
RNAcentral lists this ribosomal RNA (1389 nucleotides) under Streptomyces tricolor. RNAcentral's name for it is "16S ribosomal RNA". It matches the Rfam family "Bacterial small subunit ribosomal RNA". The record is from RNAcentral. Lineage: Bacteria; Bacillati; Actinomycetota; Actinomycetes; Kitasatosporales; Streptomycetaceae.